Non-coding RNA from Pelobates cultripes (western spadefoot toad), 1057 nucleotides. The record is from the annotation of a GenBank genome assembly. NCBI's taxonomy places the organism in Eukaryota, Metazoa, Chordata, Amphibia, Anura, Pelobatidae.
ACCGCACACAGUGUAUAUCAACACAGAACUAAACACACAGUGUAUAACACCACACACUCGGUAUAACACCACACACUAUGUAUAACACAACACCACACACAGUGUAUAUCACCACACACAGUGUAUAACACACUAUGUAUAACAACACACACUAUGUAUAACACCACACACUAUGUAUAACACCACACACUAUGUAUAACAACACACACUAUGUAUAACACCACACACUAUGUAUAACACCACACACUUUGUAUAAUAUCACAGACUGUGUAUAACACCACACACUAUGUAUAACACCACACACUGUGUAUAACACCACACACUAUGUAUAACACCACACACUUUGUAUAAUAUCACAGACUGUGUAUAUCACCACACACGUUGUAUAAUACCACACACUAUGUAUAACACUACAGAUAAAUACAUAUUAAUAAAUAAAUGUAAAAAGUACCACACAGCACCGAUAACACACACACACACACUUCUUGUGUAAAACACUUUAUAUAACAUUAUAUAGCAGUACACACACUAUGUAGAACAUAAACACACUGUAUCCUACACACCACAGACAAACAUUUAGAAAGUGACACAACUAUUUACCACAGACAACACACACAAAUUGUAUGUAAAACAAACACACGGUCUGUGACCCAAACACUCAGGUUCCAGGAAUAGAACGUGUGAGAACCGAGGGACACACACACUAUACAAUGUAUUCCUAUUAGAAUGUACUGUCAGUGUGGGCUUUUAUAUAUAAUGAUAUAAGGCAGCUAUCCAUCUCUCUCUGAUAAUAUGAUCUAUUGGACACAGAUCUGUCCCAUUCACAGAUACAUUUAUUCAUCAGACCUGCUGUGUACCUUAUCUGCCACCACAACCUGUCCGAAUUCAUUUAACUCAUAAUGGAAAGGUUCUUCCAUGAAAUACCUUGAUCCUUAUCUGAAUACAUCAUACUAGCUCCAAAUAACUGCUAACAAACCUUUGUAUUUAUUAUUUUCAGACAGAUCUGUAUUGUGCAAAAGAGAGCCUUAACUGCUCAGGUUUAAUUAGGUUACACGAG